UACGUAGGUGGCGAGCGUUGUCCGGAUUUACUGGGCGUAAAGAGCGCGCAGGCGGCUUGGGAAGUCCGUGGUGAAAGCUCGAGGCUCAACUUCGAGUCGGCCAAGGAUACUCCUAAGCUCGAGUCGACUAGAGGCAGAUGGAAUUCCGGGUGUAGCGGUGGAAUGCGUAGAGAUCCGGAAGAACACCGGUGGCGAAGGCGGUCUGCUGGGGUCGAACUGACGCUGAGGCGCGACAGCGUGGGGAGCAAACAGG
RNAcentral lists this ribosomal RNA (253 nucleotides) under uncultured bacterium. Its description in RNAcentral is "partial 16S ribosomal RNA". It matches the Rfam family "Bacterial small subunit ribosomal RNA", at positions 524 to 776 of the family's 1533-position model. The record is from RNAcentral.